Hippocampus comes (tiger tail seahorse) is the source of this 1915-nucleotide long non-coding RNA. RefSeq lists it as uncharacterized. The transcript has 2 exons. NCBI's taxonomy places the organism in Eukaryota, Metazoa, Chordata, Actinopteri, Syngnathiformes, Syngnathidae. The record is from RefSeq and is a predicted model, not a curated record.
CCCGGUUUUGCUUCCAUUCUCCUCCCUUCUGCCUUCAGUGCCCUCCAUCUCCCUGUGUUCUGUCAUUUUCUUAUAUUAAGGGCAUUGUGACAUCCAGUGUCUGCUGUGAACCUUCCAUUUCUCAGUUAUUCUCAUAAUUACUGUGAAGCAGCAGGAGAGUGAAGCAUCAUCGAGCUAGCAGCAGCACAGACAAGCCCACACUUCUGUCCCAGAAUCCAUGGAAGCCAAGGCUAAGUCAGCUCCUGUGCCCAAAGGGCCAUCGAAAGCAGAGAAAAAGGAGCCAGCAGGCCCACGUAAAGCUGAACCUGCUCCUGCAACUCCAGAGCCAGAGAUCCCUCCUCCCCAGGAUGGGUCGGCAGAAGGUGAUGCAGGUGAUGGGGCUGCGGGCAGCUGCAGAGACUCUCUGGAGCACCUGAAACCUUUCCUCAUUGGUGGUGCUGUAAUUGCAGUUGGAGCCAUUUUGCUCGGGGCGAUGCUACUGGCAAGAAGAAAUUAAAAUGAUAAUCUCUAAGAUUUAACUCAAUGUAAAAUUGGUUCACAAAUAAUCAUGGUUGAUAUUGAAGAUGGGGAGUUGCUUUCUUUUUGGCUAGCUAACAUAAAUAUAAAUAUAACAACUCAAAAAACUGUAUAAAGCUUUAUUAAAAAACAUUUGCAUGCAUUAUAAUUUACAAUCUGUUAAAACUACACCAUAAUGCUGAACAUACAAGACAAAAUUCUUCAAUGUUGCGUUUAUAUCUGUUUUAUAUUAUUUACUCAAACAUUGACAGAAACAAACAGUAUUUGCACCAUAUAUGACCUACGUUUCAAAUCCCAAAGAGCUCCUGGAGUGAAAAGUGAUAUAAUUCAAUUAUCAUGCAUUCAAGGGUUUCCUUUUCUUUUAUUUGAAAGUAAAAAGGUCAUGAUUUUGAAUCAUUUGACAAAUGAGUAAGGUUUAAUUCAGAAUGCUGCGGUUCAUGAACGGCAUCUGGGAGAAUAUUUUCGUGACUGUGUACACAGCAGACUAGUGUUGAAAUGUUAUUUCUUGAAGUAGAUUGUAGAAUCAGAAUGAUUUUUACGUUAGUAUCAAAUGAUGUGACAAAUCUAUAGUCUUUCAUGUAUAAAACAACAUCUGCAAAUGUUCCGCAUCAAUAUGUCCACUUCUGAUCGUAAAUACUUCAUUGUAGACUGGCAGACCAGUCAUUAGUGGUCUGGUAUCAAGUUGAAUCAGGCUUCAUUGCACUGUGCUUUGCUCCAUGUGUAUUCCAUCAAGUACAACCCUUGUUUGCAGUACCUUAUUAAUAACUUAAGUAUAGCUAGGCACUUUAGAGUGCUCAUGUAAAGGAAGUGGAUUAGUCAAGCAGUCAUUAUUUCAUGUCUGCACACAUUGCACCCUUACAUGUGUUCCCAGCAUUGUCUAUUCACACAGAAAUGGCCCUGUUUAAAAAGAACUCACCACUUUUCUCUGGUUGCAAGUCAACAUGUUUGCAACAUAUUAGUCAUAAUAAAUGUUGUAUGUGUGUACAUUGAUGCAUUCUGCACCCUUAACACAUCCAAACAAUACAAUGCCAAAACUGGAACUAACUUCACCUGACAUUGUAUAAAUCAGUGUACCAAAAGAAGUAUUCUUUGAAAUAACUCAAUAACAGCAGCGUAUAAAUGCAAUAAUUCAGGUAGCAGUCCUUAGUUAGCACAUUAUGUUGUGCUGUAGCAAGUUAUUUCACAUAAAUGAUGAUGAUGUAAUAGGUCAAGUAUGAUGUUUAAUCAAAUGACAAUGAUGUUAGAGGUGAUAGAAAGUAUGCAUUUAUGGUGGCUGUAAUCAUGGUUAUGGUAUAUUUUUGAUAUAUUAAAAAGCUGGGGUACGACCCUCUCCCCCUAAUGUACACAAAGAAUGUGGUUGUGAUGCAACCUUUAUUAAAGGCAGUGAACCAACUCCAAA